AACGGCCGUACCAUGCUGAAUAUACCGGUUCUCGUUAGAUCACCGAAGUUAAGCAUCAUUGGGCGCGGUCAGUACUUGGGUGGCAAAUGCUGGCAAAUUU
This is a non-coding RNA of Caerostris darwini, 100 nucleotides long. The record is from the annotation of a GenBank genome assembly. Lineage: Eukaryota; Metazoa; Arthropoda; Arachnida; Araneae; Araneidae.